GCCCAUUCAUCCCAACUGUUCGAAAAAUAGAAGAGCAAGAAAUGACAGCUUAUCAGAGUUUGUUACUUGCAGAUUAAGGCACCAAAAUUGGAGAAGCUUAAGUAUAUUCUUUUCCCAGCUGAACCUUUCAACUCCAUCUCUCCAAAUUCAGCUGGUCUGGUACUAAUAUCACCCAACAUGAGUCCAUAAAUAUCAGGCAUAAGCAAAUCAAGCAAGAUGCAAUUUUAUGAUGAAAAUUAAAUCACGUGCUGAAAUACAAAGACAAAAAUGCACUUCAAGCGCAAGUCAUUCAAACAAAGUGAAUUUCAGAAAGCAUAAAAGCAUAUGCUGUAAUAGUUUGUGAAAAGCAAUGCACAUUGAUAAUUUUAUAUUCAUGUAUAUGCACUAGAAAGCUUCCUUGAGAAAACAAAAAUGAAAGUGAAAUAUAAAAUGAAUGGCAUCUUACAAUAGAAUGCAUAAUGGUUAUUAUACUCACUGGGAGCUUAUAUUAUUAAUUAAAACCAUAACUAAAUGUUUU
Molecule: unclassified non-coding RNA, 517 nt
Filed under: Hevea brasiliensis (rubber tree)
Lineage: Eukaryota; Viridiplantae; Streptophyta; Magnoliopsida; Malpighiales; Euphorbiaceae
Source: RNAcentral